CCUGGUGUAGCGGUGGAAUGCGCAGAUAUCAGGAGGAACACCAAUGGCGAAGGGCAGGUCUCUGGGCCACAACUGACGCUGAGGAGCGAAAGCGUGGGUAGCGAACAGGAUUAGAUACCCUGGUAGUCCACGCCGUAAACGGUGGGCACUAGAUGUGGGGCUCAUUCCACGAGUUCCGCGUCGCAGCUAACGCAUUAAGUGCCCCGCCUGGGGAGUACGGCCGCAAGGCUAAAACUCAAAGGAAUUGACGGGGGCCCGCACAAGCGGCGGAGCAUGCGGAUUAAUUCGAUGCAACGCGAAGAACCUUACCAAGGCUUGACAUAUACGGUUUAUCCCUAGAGAUAGGGAGUCCUUCGGGGCUGUAUACAGGUGGUGCAUGGUUGUCGUCAGCUCGUGUCGUGAGAUGUUGGGUUAAGUCCCGCAACGAGCGCAACCCUCGUUCUAUGUUGCCAGCGCGUAAUGGCGGGGACUCAUAGGAGACUGCCGGGGUCAACUCGGAGGAAGGUGGGGAUGACGUCAAAUCAUCAUGCCCCUUAUGUCUUGGGCUUCACGCAUGCUACAAUGGCCGGUACAAAGGGCUGCAAUGCCGCAAGGUGGAGCGAAUCCCAAAAAGCCGGUCUCAGUUCGGAUUGAGGUCUGCAACUCGACCUCAUGAAGUCGGAGUCGCUAGUAAUCGCAGAUCAGCAACGCUGCGGUGAAUACGUUCCCGGGCCUUGUACACACCGCCCGUCAAGUCACGAAAGUCGGUAACACCCGAAGCCGGUGGCCUAACCCGUAAGGGAAGGAGCCGUCUAAGGUGGGAUUGGCGAUUGGGACUAAGUCGUAACAAGGUA
Molecule: ribosomal RNA, 833 nt
Filed under: uncultured bacterium
Lineage: Bacteria
Description: bacterial SSU rRNA
Rfam family: Bacterial small subunit ribosomal RNA
Source: RNAcentral